GUACGCGGGAAGUGUAAAUAGCAGUGCAGUGAGUGUGACAGAAUGGAGGUCAGUGCGGCCGCGGUAUGGCAGUGCUCUGUGGCUGGUGUAUGUGAGCGGAACCCAGGACAGGACACGAUCAGCACCUUGUUGCUCUCCGGCUACUGGAAUUCUUUUCAUUCUGGCCUCAUCGCAUCCACCAUAGAAGCCUACAGUGUGUGGUCUGCGGCUAUUGACGUUAGUGGAAGCAUCACGGUCGAUAUCUGUUGCAGUCCCUCAGGUAUACCCUGGAAAGACAUGAUGCUUCUAAAUAUUUCCAUGUAACUAGUACACUACCUGCUGUACGGUGUAUUGUGUCCUGUCUGACACCCAGCACAUUAUAUGGGAAGAUGCGAUGAAUGUGUGUAAACCAGAUUGUGUUUGCACACUACACAAUGGGGGUGCAGUUACAAUCCCGACAAGAUACCGGCUGCAGAAUCCCGAAAGGUGACAGGACACUGGAGGCCACACACUACUGAGCCUCAUUUUUACUUGUUUUAAGGACAUUACAUCAAAGUUGGAUCAGCCUGUAGUGUGUUUUUCCACUUUAAUUUUGAGUGUGACUCCAAAUCCAGACCUCCAUGGGUUAAUAAACUUGAUUUCCAUUGAUAA
This is a long non-coding RNA of Pseudophryne corroboree (corroboree frog), 630 nucleotides long. RefSeq lists it as uncharacterized. NCBI's taxonomy places the organism in Eukaryota, Metazoa, Chordata, Amphibia, Anura, Myobatrachidae. The transcript is spliced from 3 exons. The record is from RefSeq and is a predicted model, not a curated record.